This 497-nucleotide ribosomal RNA is filed under the name uncultured bacterium. RNAcentral describes it as "partial 16S ribosomal RNA". It matches the Rfam family "Bacterial small subunit ribosomal RNA", at positions 28 to 507 of the family's 1533-position model. The record is from RNAcentral.
GAUGAACGCUGGCGGCGUGCCUAAUACAUGCAAGUCGAGCGAACAGACGAGGAGCUUGCUCCUCUGACGUUAGCGGCGGACGGGUGAGUAACACGUGGAUAACCUACCUAUAAGACUGGGAUAACUUCGGGAAACCGGAGCUAAUACCGGAUAAUAUAUUGAACCGCAUGGUUCAAUAGUGAAAGACGGUUUUGCUGUCACUUAUAGAUGGAUCCGCGCCGCAUUAGCUAGUUGGUAAGGUAACGGCUUACCAAGGCAACGAUGCGUAGCCGACCUGAGAGGGUGAUCGGCCACACUGGAACUGAGACACGGUGCAGACUCCUACGGGAGGCAGCAGUAGGGAAUCUUCCGCAAUGGGCGAAAGCCUGACGGAGCAACGCCGCGUGAAUGAUGAAGGUCUUCGGAUCGUAAAACUCUGUUAUUAGGGAAGAACAAAUGUGUAAGUAACUAUGCACGUCUUGACGGUACCUAAUCAGAAAGCCACGGCUAACUACGUG